Lactuca sativa (garden lettuce) is the source of this 11130-nucleotide long non-coding RNA. RefSeq lists it as uncharacterized. The record is from RefSeq and is a predicted model, not a curated record. Lineage: Eukaryota; Viridiplantae; Streptophyta; Magnoliopsida; Asterales; Asteraceae.
CUUGGCUGGAGGCAUGGCCCAAACUUGUAUGUGAGUGUGUGUGUUGACUAUAAAAUGAGGCUUAGACACCUUCAUUUCUCACUCACAAAAUCUGCCAUCAUCUUCCUCUUCUUCCUCUCUCUCUCUCUCUCUCUCUCUCUCUCUCUCUCUCUCAAUCUUGAUCUCUAUAUCCCUUUCUAUCUCCCUUAGAUUGAAUAACCACCAUUUCCACCACCUACUGUUGUCACAAGCUCCUCCGUCCAGCACCAAUCUUGCACCAUCACUACCAUAUUGGUGCCACCGAAACUAAAUUUUCUCGGAGAUUCAUAUUCACGGAAAUACUACUCGACCUUCUCGCAUCCAUUCCAGAACACUAAUCGUCUAUCGAACGUUAAGGUAGUGGCGCAUGAGCAUAGAUGUGAUGUUUUGGACGAGGGAUUACGGAUAUAGGCCUGUAGAUAUGAAAUAAUGUAGUAAGGCUUAUAUUGUACUGUUUAUGCUUUUGAUCUGUACGAACAUGACAUCCCAAGUCUUUUAAUGAAAUACAUUUCUAUGGAAAUGCUUUUGAUAAAUCUUUAUCAUAUCUUGUUUUGGGACAAAUUCCGCAACACUUUCAUUUAAAAUGUAACUCUGAUUUUUAAACAAAGCAUAAACAAACCGGUCUUUUCUGGCCGUGAUUUUGGGGAUGUCACAUACUAUUGUUCCUUCUAUAAUCUAAUAACACUCUCAUGCUAUCUACCAACAUAGUGAAUGCUACGGUUACACCCGCAGUCUUACAACAUUCUAGCACUAUCUGCCAACCUUGUGAAUGCUACGGCUACACCCGCAGACUUACAACACUCUAACAUUAUCUGUCAACCUUGUGAAUGCUACGGCUACACCCGCAAACUUAUAACACUCUAACACUAUCUGCCAACCUUGUGAAUGCUACGGCUACACCCACAGACUUACAACACUCUAACACUAUCUGUCAACCUUGUGAAUGCUAUGGCUACACUCGCAGACUUACAACACUCUAACACUAUCUGUCAACCUUGUGAAUGCUACGGCUACACCCGCAGACUUACAACACUCUAAAACUAUCUGUCAACCUUGUGAAUGCUACGGCUACACCCGUAAACUUACAACAUUCUAAAACUAUCUGUCAACCUUGUGAAUGUUACGGCUACACCCGCAGACUUACAACACUCUAAAACUAUUUGUCAACCUUGUGAAUGCUAUAGCUACACCCGCAAACUUAUAACACUCUAACACUAUCUAUCAAUCGUGUGAAUGCUAUGACUACACCCGCAGACUUACAACACUUCCUCACACUAUCUGGUUUCCAGAGAAUGCUAUGGCUAUCCUACAGUCUCACAACACUGUCCACGUUGUCUCAAUCGCCGAUUACCAAUUCGAACACAUCCAUCAUUGAACACACACACAUGAUCUAACAUCCCAACUGAACUCAUGUUCUGACUAGAAUCCCCAACCUGGUUCCAUAAGGCCUGCUAUCAAACAUUCCGAGAACGCGAUCUCAUCAUCGACAAGUUUUCCGAACUUCCAACUCACACUAUUGUAACAACGUAAUUUUCAAAACAAAAUUUUCAUUUUUCAACAACCAUUUUCAUAUAAAAUAUUUUCAAAAAUAUCCAACAAUAGUUAUCAAAACAUAUCGUAUCCCAAGAUCACAAAAAUCAAAACCUCUCUCUAAUGUCGACGACCCUUCCACUCGGCACCGUCGGAUCACUAAGGCCGAAUUUCGUCCCUACUCGACGGGUGGGUCUUGCAGUCAAGCUCCCUUCUGCCUUUGCACUCGAGGGCCAAUCUCUAUCCGGCCCGAGGAAACCUUUGCACGCCUCCGUUACCUUUUGGGAGGCCUAUGCCCCAUAGAACCUGUCUACCUGAGACUGUCCCUUGGCCCGUACAUCCUGACACAAGGUUAGAAUUCUAGCUCUUCCAAAGUGGUAUCUCACUGAUGGCUCGGACCCCCCCCCCCCCCGGAAGCAUGUCGGCGCCUUCCCAUGGUCCUCACUAGUACCUGAAACACAUAACACAACAACUGUAAGCAUAAAUGCUUAGUGAGUUCCCCAAAAUACCACUUACAAACAUACACCUUUCCAGGCCAUACUUCACACGACCUUCCGGUCCAUGUGUCUCAGGGGACUUCUGUCCCAACCCGGUAAACCUUCCGGUCCUACCCGUGUUGACCUUCCGGUCCAUAUCAUAAUGCCUUCCGGCCCAUAUCAAACAUAACAUGUAUAUCACAUACAUAGCGCAUACGAAACAGACAACUCAUAGCAUGUAACGCACAUAUCUCAUAGCACACCAGACCUUCCGGUCACACAUAGGUACCUUUCCAGGUAUAAUAUAGUGAGAAGACUUACCUCAUAUGAUGUCUAGAACCUCACGUGCUCGAUAUCUCUGAAUCUCGAAACGACAACCUAGCCUCGCCUAAUCACAACAAAUAAUCAUUCUAAUUAUUAACGGCUUUCAAGGCUAUGCUACACCCUUUUCCACUAUCCCAUAGAAGGGUAAAAGACCAUUUCACCCCUCCCUGACUCAAAAGUCCACAUGUUGACCAAAACCCUAAAAGUCAACAAAAGUCAACAGCAAGCAAUACGCGGGGUGUACCAGCUCCUGUACGCGGGGCGUACCCUUGCAUUCCAGAAACGGGGGACGCGACCCAAUACGCGGCGCGUACUGGGAUUACGCCCAACGUACAUCCCAGUUUCUUACUUCCUCAUUCUAAUGUCUUAAACGAUUAAGACAUAACCCCAUAUUCCAGAUCUGGCCAUUUUAAUAUCUCUAAAUCCAUAAAGUCGAAACCUUUAAGCCUUUGCAUGGCUAUAAAGGUUCCCCACACCUUCUAACACCUUUCCUUUCUCCUCCAAAAGUCUAGAUCUCAUGCAUGGCUCAACAUUCACGUCCAAGAUUGCAUUUUUAUGAACUUACAACUCAUAUAGUCCUGGAAUAUGAUAGAUCUAGGCCAGUGGAGGCUAUUUGCUCAUAAAAUCUCCAUCUUGGGACCAAAAACCCUAGAAAUUGGCCCAAGAAGCACACCACACAAACUACAAGGCAAGAUCUGAACUUUUUACCUCGGGAAGAGGCUCCAACCUUUGUAGUCCUUAGAUCUACACUUGUCCACCCACUUCUAGCUUCCACAAUGGUCUCCUCUACUCUUUCACCACCUGGGAAUGACACUUUGAAGCUUAGAACACUCACACCCAAGCUAAAAAUGAAGGAAAUACUCUCUUAGGGUUUCUUUCUGAAAGAUGGUGGCUGAGGGACAAGACCAUCUCAUUCCUUUUAUAGCCUUCAAGUCAUAUUAGGGUUUUGAAUAUGGGCCGGUUACGCCCGGCGUAACCUUAGGUACGCCCAGCGUACCCGGAUGGACCCGCGUACAAAAUAAGCGUGCGAGUACGUGUAGCGUACUCCUUGUACUCCCAGCGUACUCACAAGCUUAGUACUUAACACAAAGGGAACUAAUAUGACAACUUGGAAAAGAUGAAGGGUUAAAUGGUUGAACCUGAAUUCCGGGAUGUUACAAUUCUCCCCCACUAGAACCAGACUUCGUCCCCGAAGUCUUAUACCGAAAACAACUCCAGAUGCUGCUCCCGCAUCUCCGACUCUGACUCCCACGUCAGCUCGGACCCCUUCCGAUGCUGUCACUGAACCUGCGCCAAUGACACCUCAUUGUUCCUCAGAACCUUGAUCUUCCGAUCCCGAAUCGCGAUUGGUCUCUCGGCAUAAUUCAGGCCUGCAUCCACCUGAAUAUCCUUCAGAGGCAUUACCGCUGACUCGUCGGCUAUACACUUCCUCAACUGAGACACGUGGAAGGUAUCAUGAAUCUGGCUCAACUCCGCAGGUAGCUCCAGAUGAUAUGCUACUCUGCCUACCCUCGCAAUCACUCUAAACGGCCCAAUAUACUGGAACCCCAGCUUGCCCCUCUUCCUGAAUCGGAUCACUCAUUUCCAAGGAGAUACCUUCAGGAGCACGAAAUCACCAACCUGGAACUCGAGCUCAGACCGUCGCCUAUCCGCAUAACUCUUCUGGUGACUCUGAGCGGUCAACAACCUCUUUCGGACUUGCUGUAUCUGCUCUGUCGUCUGGAGCACAAUCUAUGUACUACCCAUCACGCAUUGCCCUACUUCUCCCCAACAUAUGGGGGUCCGACACCUCCUCCCAUACAACAGCUCAAAAGGUGGCAUACCGAUGCUCGAGUGAUGGCUGUUGUUGUAGGAAAACUCAACCAAGGGCAAAUACGUGUCCCAACUUCGGCCGAAAUCCAAUACACACGCCCGAAGCAUGUCCUCGAGCGUCCGAAUCGUCCGCUCACUCUGUCCGUCCGUCUGUGGGUGGUAUGCGGUACUGAAAUGCAGCCUCGUACCCAACUCCUCGUGAAAUUUCUUCCAAAAUAUGGAAGUAAAUCGCACAUCUCAAUCUGAAACAAUCGAGAUCGGAACUCCAUGCCGCGAUACCACAUCCCUCACAUACAGCUAUGUCAGCCUCUCAGCAAAAGAGCUCUCACUGAUAGCAAGAAAGUGAGCGCUCUUCGUCAACCUGUCCACAAUCACCCAAAUUGCAUCGACACCUCUAGCAGUCCUUGGCAAUUUGGUGAUAAAAUCCAUGGUAACUUGCUCCCACUUCCACUCGAGAAUCUUUAACGGCUGCAGCUUACCAUGCGGACGCUGGUGCUCGGCCUUAACCUUGUGACAGGUCAAGCACCUCUCUACGAACCAUGCAACAUCCCUCUUCAUACAGAGCCACCAAUACUCCUUCUUUAAAUCCAAGAACAUCUUAGUGGCCCCGAGAUGGAUCGAGAACUUCGACCUAUGGGCCUCCUCCAUCAAGAUUGUACGCGCUCCGCCCACAAACGGUACCCAAAUCCGGCCCUGAAAAGUCAUAAGUCCUCGACUAUCGGUAACAAACUCUGAUACCUGCCCGAUCACCCGCUCCCUUUUGCGGUUCUCCGGUCUCACUGCCUCUGCCUGGGCCCCUCGUAUAGUGUCCAACACCAGAGUCAUCACUGUCAACCUCAUACAAACGUCUCGAAUCGGGGCGCUCUCCGCCCUACGGCUCAAAGCAUCGGCUACAACAUUAGCCUUGCCUGGGUGGUACAGGAUCUCACAAUCGUAAUCCUUUACCACAUCCAACCAUCUCCUAUGGCGCAUAUUCAGGUUGGGCUGAUCCAUCAAGUACUUCAGACUCUUGUGGUCCGUGUAUAUGGUACACCGAACCCCAUACAGAUAGUGACGCCAGAUCUUGAGGGCGAACACCACAACCCCCAGCUCCAGAUCGUGGGUGGGAUACCUCGACUCAUGAGGCUUCAGCUGCCUCGAAGCAUAUGUUAUCACAUGCCCCAUCUGCAUAAGCACUGCUCCCAAACCGGAUAUCGAUGCAUCGCAGUACACCACAAAAUCCUCCAUCCCUUCUAGGAGUGCGAGCAUCGGGGCUUCGUACAACUUCUGGCGAAGUGUCUCAAAUGAGGUCUGCUGCUCCGGACCCCAGGAAAAAGCGACACCCUUCCGGGUCAUCUUGGUAAGUGGCACGAUGAUCUUGGAGAAAUCCUUAAUAAAUCUCCGAUAAUAACCGGCCAAUCCCAAAAAGCUCCUGAUCUCGGUGGGUGAUCUCGGCACCUCCCACCUCAUGACCGCCUCAAUCUUAGCCGAAUCGACCAAUAUUCCAUUAUGGUUGACGAGAUGUCCCAAAAACUGAACCUCUCGUAACCAGAACUCACACUUGGAGAAUUUGGCAUACAACCUCUCCGAUCUUAGAACUCCAAGGAUCUCCCUCAAAUGUUCCUCAUGUUGCUCUCUAGACCUCGAAUAUACCAAAAUAUCAUCAAUGAAUACGAUCACCGACCGAUCUAGCAUCGGCCUGCACACCCUGUUCAUGAGAUCCAUGAAAGCAACUGGUGCAUUGGUGAGCCCAAAAAGGCAUCACCACGAACUCGUAAUGCCCAUAACGAGUUCUGAAUGCUGUCUUCUGAAUAUCUUCAUCCCGAACCCUCAUCUGAUUAUAACCCGACCUCAAGUCUAUCUUGGAGAACCAAGACGCCCCCUGCAACUAAUUGAACAGAUCAUCGAUCCUCGGCAACGAAUAACGGUUCUUGACCGUAAACUUGUUCAACUCCCGGUAAUCAAUACACAUCCGGUGUGAACCAUCCUUCUUCUUGACAAAAAGGAUCGGCGCUCCCCAAUGUGAGCUACUCGGUCGAAUAAGCCCUUUCUCCAAUAGCUCCUGAAGCUGCGAGGAUAACUCCUGCAUCUCUGGCGGCGCGAGGUGAUAAGGCGCCUUGGCGAUAGGUGCUGCUCCCGGAACCAAAUCGAUACGGAACUCCACACCGAAAAUCUCAAGGAUACAUCCUCGAAUCACAUCCGAAGCAUGCACUACUCGCUCAUCAGCUAUGGAAACUCACAGAGGUCGACUCAACGCCUCUCGAUGGAUACUAAUGUGCUGACUAAAUGCCAAGGAAACAAAUGAUUGACUCGCACCCGAGUCAAAUAAUACCAAAGCAGGUACAUAACUCACAAGAAAAGUACCUACGCAUAUCAUCAUAUAAGCACAAUAUCUCAAACAAAGGAUAAAAUACAUAAUACAUACCAGCCACAACAUCGGGCGCCGCGCGGACCUCCUCUGCAGUCAACUGGAAAGCUCUCCCACGAGCCUUCGGAGCCUCGACCUUCACCAGUUGAACCUCGGUAACCCUAGCAGCAGGUGCAGAUCCCUGCGCUGAUCCCUGAUGUAGCUGAGGGCACUCGGCCUUCCGAUGGUCGGUCUGGUUGCAAUGGAAGCAAACCAUAAAUCCCUUGGGGCAAUCCUUGGCGAUAUGCCCCUCAUUGCCACAUUUGUAGCAAGCACCCGAUCGAUAGGCCCCCUCGUGACCCUUGCCGCACUUCCCGCAAGUGCGGCCCUUCUAGUCUCCAGUCUUCGAAUCAGCGGACUUGGUCCGCUUGGCUGCCCGGCUGAGACUGAGCCGGCCACUGAUCCAUCCUAUGAGACUCGGCCUCCUUCCUGGCCUGAGUCUCCAACUCAAUCUCCCUCUUUCGGGCAUUUUCCUGGAGCUCAGCAAAUGUCCGGUACGUCGAGUUCGACACGAACUCCCGAAUGUCCCUCCUCAGAAUGCCCAAAUACCGGCUCAUCCGUGCCUGCUCAGUGGACACCUGCUCAGGGCAGAACAUCGCCCUCUCAUGAAACUUCCGGGUGACCACAGUAACCGAAUCAUUACCCUGCUUAAGGGUCAAGAACUCCUGAACCAACCGUUCCCUCUCCACCGGGGGAACAAACUCGUCUCUGAACAUGGUGGUGAACUUCUCCUAGGUCACCGCUGAAAUCUCUGCAAGAGUGAAGUUCACUGUCACAGACUUCCACCAAUCCUUCGCUCCCAAGCGAAGCUGGUUCAGAGCGAACCGUACCCUCAGGUGCUCCGGACAUGAACACGUAUAGAAGCAUCCCAUAAUGUCAGCAAUCCACCUCAUCGCAGCGAUCGGAUCCUGCGUCCCAUCAAACUCGGGUGGCUUCGUGUUGCUGAACUCCCGGAACAACAACGAGUCACCUCCCUAAGGCCUGGAAGCAGCCACAGCUGCUGUAGUUGCAGCGGAUGCGGCCUCAGUCACCGCGGCGUACCGCUCAUCAAAAGUCUCCAUUAGUGUGAUCUUGAUAGACCCAAACAUCUCCGGAAUCUCGGCCCUGAUCGCCGCAGCCACCUCAUCGUGGAUCAUUUGACGAAGCUCCUUGUCACUCACACCGCUCGUCUCAGGUCUGUGGCGUGUCCCAACCAUGAUGUCUCUGAAAUAUAAUAUAAUAAUAUCAAAGACUCAUUCGAGUAUGCUCACACUCGAAAUCUCGACCCUACUUGUUCCUUAGUGCCCAAAGGAUUCUUACCUAGAGUGCGCACUGCUUCGGUGUCUUCGGUAGUACGGGCCCUUAUACUACCGCCUACACCGCAUUAAUAUUCACCCUAAGUCCUCAUCCUUGGAUCCCAAAUCAAAAGUACUCUAUAUCUCACUGGCAUAGGCUACUCCUCGGGAGACCUCUCAUAAGCCCCUCACUGCUACCUACUCGCUCGCAAGCAUCACAUAGCAACACAUUCCUUCCUAGGCUAAGGCAUCACAAAAUCAGGCCACUCUAGUCCUAAUAUGAAUACCUAGCCAGCUCUAGCAUGCAUAAUAUAACAUAUCAUAUUUCAUAACACAUACGUAAGGACAUUUUGGGGGGUUUUACCGUUCGGGCGCUGACUGACCGUACACACUGCUCCGCUCUGGUUGUCUCAAAAUCUCUUGCUUUUUAGAAAAUUUAGUUUUUUUAUCGUUUGAAAAUUUCCUCAAAUCCUCAGUUUGAGUUCGGCUACGCCCGAAGGUGCAUCUGAAUCUCUCAAACCAAGGCUCUGAUACCAACUUGUAACAACGUAAUUUUCAAAACAAAAUUUUCAUUUUUCAAUAACCAUUUUCAUAUAAAAUAUUUUCAAAAAUAUCCAACAAUAGUUAUCAAAGCAUAUCGUAUCCCAAGAUCACAAAAAUCAAAUCCUCUCUCUAGUGUGUACGAGUCACGCCGGUGCCUUUCCAUGGUCCUCGUUAGUACCUGAAACACAUAACACAACAACUGUAAGCAUAAAUGCUUAGUGAGUUCCCCAAAAUACCACUUACAAACAUACGCCUUUCCAGGCCAUACUUCACACGAACUUCCGGUCCAUGUGUCUCAGGGGACUUCCGUCCCAACCCGGUAAACCUUCCGGUCUUACCCGUGUUGACCUUCUGGUCCAUAACUCCCUGACCUUCCGGUCCAUAUCAUAAUGCCUUCCGGCCCAUAUCAAACAUAGCAUAUAUAUCACAUACAUAGCGCAUACGAAACAGACAACUCAUAGCAUGUAACACACAUAUCUCAUAGCACACCAGACCUUCCGGUCACACAUAGGUACCUUUCCAGGUACAGUAUAGUGAGAAGACUCACCUCGUAUGAUAUCUAGAACCUCACGUGCUCGAUAUCUCUGAAUCUCGAAACGACAACCUAGCCUCGCCUAAUCACAACAAAUAAUCAUUCUAAUUAUUAACGGCUUUCAAGGCUAUGCUACACCCUUUUCCACUAUCCCACAGAAGGGUAAAAGACCAUUUCACCCCUCCCUGACUCAAAAGUCCACAUGUUGACCAAAACCCUAAAAGUCAACAACAAGCAGUACGUGGGGCGUACCGACUCCUAUACUCGGGGUGUACCCUUUGCAUUCUAGAAACGGGGGACACGACCCACUAUGCAGCGCGUACUGGGAUUACGCCCAACGUACAUCCCAGUUUCUUACUUCCUCAUUCUAAUGUCUUAAACGAUUAAGACAUAACCCCAUAUUCCAUAUCUGGCCAUUUUAAUAUCUCUAAAUCCAUAAAGUCGAAACCUUUAAGCCUUUGCAUGGCUAUAAAGGUUCCCCACACCUUCUAACACCUUUCCUUUCUCCUCAAAAAGUCUAGAUCUCAUGCAUGGCUCAACAUUCACGUCCAAGAUUGCAUUUUUAUGAACUUACAACUCAUAUAGUCCUGGAAUAUGAUAGAUCUAGGCCAGUGGAGGCUAUUUGCUCAUAAAAUCUCCAUCUUGGGACCAAAGACCCUAGAAAUUGGCCCAAGAAGCACACCACACAAACUACAAGGCAAGAUCUGAACUUUUUACCUCGGGAAGAGGCUCCAACCUUUGUAGUCCUUAGAUCUACACUUUUCCACCCACUUCUAGCUUCCACAAUGGUCUCCUAUACUCUUUCACCACCUGGGAAUGACACUUUGAAGCUUAGAACACUCACACCCAAGCUAAAAACAAAGGAAAUACUCUCUUAGGGUUUCUUUCUGAAAGAUGGUGGCUGAGGGACAAGACCAUCUCAUUCCUUUUAUAGCCUUCAAGUCAUAUUAGGGUGUUUAAUUUGGGCCGGUUACGCCCGGCGUAACCUUAGGUACUCCCAACGUACCCGGAUGGACCCGCGUACAAAAUAAGCACGCGAGUACGCGUAGCGUACUCCUUGUACGCCCAGCGUACUCACAAGCUUAGCAAUUAACACAAAGGGACCUAAUAUGACAACUUGGAAAAGAUGAAGGGUUAAAUGGUUGAACCUGAAUUCCGGGAUGUUACAAAUAUCCUCAAUCCAUACAGCCGCUUGGACUGUCUUCCUUCCUAAAAAAGAAUGCAAAACUUAUCACAGUCUCAAAACUGCUCCUGUUUUCAAAUCCCUGGAUGAUUCUCCCCCACUUAGAUUCGACUAAGUCUUCACGAUUCAUGAAAAUUGAAGAAUUCCCACUUAGAAAAAGUAUAUGCAAGGAGAUAGGUCACAACAAGGAUACUUGUCCCACAAAGAAGACCCUAAGAUGUAAAUGAGAGGAAAAACAAGAAACAAAAACUUUGUCCAAGGAAAAAAGCAGCCCAGGCUAGUACAAGUGAACCUUAAGAACAUGAUGAGGUUGAAUUGACUCCAAUUUAGGUGGAUACUACUCAAAAUGAUUUCUAGGAUACUCCUGGUGAUUAUGAUUCUAGUAUUGCAGGGGGUUGUGCUCAGUAUAUGCAAGUGACUCCUCUUAGAAGUUAUGAAGUUGAAGAUUUUGUUGGUGAGGAUGUUGAGGUUGAAAAUGUUGAAGGUGGUCAGGGUGAAGCAAAUGGUGUGGUUGAAGAUGGCCAGGGUCAAACUAAAGGUGCGGUUGAAGAUGGUCAAGGUCAAGCUAAUGGUGUGUUUGAAGAUGGUCAGGGUAUAGUUAAUGUUGUGGUUGAGGAAGCUGUUGAGGUUCCUAAUGUGCAAGUGAAGCAGGUUAGACCAAUUUUAGAUAUUUUGAAGACGAUAAGGAGAAGAAAGUCAGAGAGAAUAUUGAAGAUCAAAUUAGGAAAGAUAGUUAGUGGUGUUGAUGAUCCAGGAAAUUCCAAGGGAAAAGCUCUUAUAAUUGAUUAGGGUAGGGUGUUAUGGUUUUGUGUUUUUGUCUUUGUGUUUCUGUAAUAUGGAUUUAAUGUAAGUCUAUUAGGAUGACGGUAAUUUUGACUUUGUGUCUGUGUUUGUAUAAUAUGGUAAUUUUUUUGUAACUAUGAUAGUAUGUUACCAUUUUAGGUUAAAUGCAGAAUGUUCUCUUUUAAUGUGUUUAGCUAUAAGAAAAGGUGAUGGCUUUUUAUAUAUCCUGCAUGGAAUAGUUUGGAAUUAUGUGUAUGAAUGUCAAUGUG